This 676-nucleotide long non-coding RNA is filed under the name Ananas comosus (pineapple). Its description in RNAcentral is "long non-coding RNA (ACOM_LNC021070)". The record is from RNAcentral. Lineage: Eukaryota; Viridiplantae; Streptophyta; Magnoliopsida; Poales; Bromeliaceae.
AAAAUUAAACAAUUUAGAGUUCAUAUAUGCUAUACAUAUAUACAUAGAGUUGAGCUCUUAUACUUUUAGAAAGUACCAAGUGAUUAGUGCUUGUAGAUUUUUUGCAUUUUUUUUUAGAGAGAGAAAGAUAGCAUGCUACCGUUUCGUUUAUUUUUUUUAGAAAUAAACUUAGCUGGAAAUGUGAAUCAACUAGGAUUCGAACUUUAGCGGGGAAUACAGAUAGAUCCUGUUUUAGCGGCGAGAAGGCCCAAGCAGCUGAUUGAUUAUUGGAAAGACAUCCUUUGACCCUUUGAUUUUUUUUUUUUUUUUUUUUCGAUCAAUUCCUGAGGCCCUAGUUGCUUCACAUCUGUAGCCUAAUUCAUACCUUCAAUGAAUGAAGCAGGUAGCGCGCUACCUAUUCUCUAAAAAAAAAACCAGGAUUCGAACUUGGGAUCUCGGAUACCAAUCACCAGGCCCUUUGCCAUUUGCGCUAGAGACGGUCGGUGCUAAUUUUCGGCCUUUGGAUGAAGGGAUAUGCUGUUAGGAUGAUAGUAGUUCUCUAGGGUUGAACGGAUGAUUGUGUGGAAUAACAUAAUCUAAGGAGUGAAAUUGGUCAAAGAGAUAGAUCAAAAUGUAAGAAACUUACAAGCACUAAGUGCUUGGUGCUUGUAUAAACACCAUAGCCAGACUCUCUCUC